GACAAACCCGGAGGAAGGUGGGGAUGACGUCAAGUCCUCAUGGCCCUUAUAGGUGGGGCUACACACGUCAUACAAUGGCCGGUACAAAGGGCAGCAAACCCGCGAGGGGGAGCCAAUCCAUCAAAGCCGGUCGUAGUCCGGAUCGCAGUCUGCAACUCGACUGCGUGAAGUCGGAAUCGCUAGUAAUCGUGGAUCAGCAUGUCACGGUGAAUACGUUCCCGGGUCUU
This 227-nucleotide ribosomal RNA is filed under the name uncultured Hydrogenophaga sp. Its description in RNAcentral is "partial 16S ribosomal RNA". It matches the Rfam family "Bacterial small subunit ribosomal RNA", at positions 1156 to 1382 of the family's 1533-position model. Lineage: Bacteria; Pseudomonadati; Pseudomonadota; Betaproteobacteria; Burkholderiales; Comamonadaceae. The record is from RNAcentral.